This is a non-coding RNA of Myodes glareolus (Bank vole), 1058 nucleotides long. Lineage: Eukaryota; Metazoa; Chordata; Mammalia; Rodentia; Cricetidae. The record is from RefSeq and is a predicted model, not a curated record.
UUCGGCUGAGGCUGGGAUCUGGAACAAAGAGGCCCUGGCAGCCAAUGGCAGCGGGGCAGUGCCAGGAAGCCGCCAAUCAGCGCGCGCCGCACGCACCUUCGCGGCCGGAGCAAGGGCAAAGAGGAGCCAUGGAGCUCCUUCGGCAUACCAGGAUAUACCAGGAACCUGAUAUUCAAGCCUUGAUUUCACUACUGAAUUGUGAAGAUGUCCCUUUCUCAAAUGUUUUUCUCCAGAGUCCCGAACACUGCCGAAGAAUCCUCCCUGACACCCUACAUGCCAAUGAAGAUUGCUACAUUGUGAGCAAGUAAGGCUCACACAAACUUCUGCAGAAGUGAGUGGUAUAUUUGUUUGGGAAACAGAAGCUUGCCUUUUGUGCCUACUAAGUGUAAUAAGGCGAGGUUGCCCCUGCUUCUCGUGAAGUCCGGUUUCAAACGCCAGUCUCACAGAAGCCUGAACCACUGGAAGCCAGUCCGCUUCAUACCCUCAUUCAAGAGCAAAUGCAAUGAAGACCCUCACCUUGGAGAGACUGGGUGGGGUGUAGGGAUUAAUUCACUUCACACAUUUUGCUGGGAACUGAAGGCCCCAAAGACAUGUCAAAUGUCUUGGCAUGUUGGGGGCAGAGCUCCCGCAUGAGUCACAGUAACUUCUCCAGGAUGUGGACCUGAGGGAAAGAAGCGUUUUGAUUUAGGCAAAUCAACGUUUUUUAUUACAUGUCUAUGAAUGAGCAUGUGCAGUUGUGAGUGCAGGCUCACUUACAGUCCAGAAGGAUGGCUGGGAUGUUAUGAGGUUGGAGUUACCGGUUGCUGGGAGCCUCCUGAAUUGGGCUCUGGGAACUGGAAUCAGGUCCUCUGCAAGAGCCGCAGAAGCCCUUAAUACCUCAACCAUUUCUCCAGCCCCGAGCAAUUUUCUUCAGUUCCUACUUGUAGUAGAAAGUGUUAAUGGCUAGGUGUCAGAUAGUGCCCUAAUCUGGCAUCUACAGUAUGCAUGUAUAUAUGUCUCUCUAAGUAAGUAUACAUUCAAUAUUAAAUAUAAAAUCUCCAUACAAUGGGCGUGCUUGA